GUGAAUCAUCGAAUUUUUGAACGCAAAUUGCACUCCCUGGUAUUCCGGGGAGUAUGCCUGUUGAGGGUUGUUAGAAGAAAAAUUGAAGCAUCGCUCUUUUUUUUGAGGGUGAUCGCGUCGGAAUUGAGCCGGCUUUCAAAAGUUAAUUCAUGUCAAAGUGGCUUAAAAUUCAUCCAUCCGGUACGAAUAAAGCGUAUUUAAGAUCAAUUUUGAAUAAGAACGCGCGAAU
RNAcentral lists this unclassified non-coding RNA (229 nucleotides) under Funneliformis mosseae. RNAcentral's name for it is "partial contains 5.8S ribosomal RNA and internal transcribed spacer 2". The stretch from base 1 to 70 matches the Rfam family "5.8S ribosomal RNA", at positions 84 to 154 of the family's 154-position model. The record is from RNAcentral. Lineage: Eukaryota; Fungi; Glomeromycota; Glomeromycetes; Glomerales; Glomeraceae.